CCCAGUCGGGUGGCGUAGUGCGCAGGCGCGGCGUUCCGCGGGCUCCGCGCUGGCGGCGGGGAGCGGGCUCGGGCCGCUUGCCCCCGCGUGGGCUCGCGCUGGGCCGGGGAGUCCGCGCGGCCCGCGCCGGAGGGGGGGGUUCUGUCCCAACAUGGGACGGAAGCACGUGACCCGCCCGGUUGGCGCCUUCGGAAGCAGCUCAUGAGCUGACUGAGAGGAGCCCGGCGGGGGGCCUGAGGCUGCGGAGGAGCGCGGUGCCCGGAGCCCCUGCCCCAGAGGCUCCAGUCGGCGCCAGAGCGGCUCCCGGCCUCCCGGUGGAGCCGCCGCUGCCGGGAGCCCUGCAGGAGGAAGAGCGCUGGGGGCACUUGUUGGGCCUGCGCCCCCCGGGGCCUUCGCAAAGCCAGUUCCGGGCCGGGGCCCUGGCGGAGGGAGAAAAUAAAUUGUUUGGGAGACACGGAGCCUCCGCGCCCUUUGUGACCCGCCGUUGGGCCUGCCUGGGAGCCCGGCGAGACCCUGGUGGGGGGCGGGCUCUGGACCCCGGAGGGAGGAAGCCCAAGGCAAGGGUCUGGGCCGCCCGGGGCUGCUGGCCCCGAGAAUGAGGGGGCGCCCGUCUGGGAUUCCUGCCCCUGCAGCCCCGCUGUGCGCCUGGCCCCGCCUCUUCCGCCCUGGGAGGGGGGAGGGGCAGCGGCGUCUUACAGCCCCCAGAGGUGGGCGGGGCUGGCCGCGGUGGGAGGGGGGAGUUCUGCGGGACCCCAUCUGGGCGAGCCUGUUUCCAUCAGUGAAUGCGACCGAGGCUGCGGGGUCCCUGCCGAAAAGUGGGCUGGGCUGCGAGCCGCGGCCUGCUCGAGGAGGAAGGGCGGAGGCCGUUGGGGGUUCAAGGUCAAAGUCAGACCCUGCGGCGAGGUCUGUGCCAUGAGAACAGUAGGGGGCGCUCUAACAUGAGCUGUCCCGAGGCUCCCGGGGAGCAAAGUGGGCGGCGGGCGCUUGGGCAGAGGAAGAGCCCGCGUGUCUCGGUGGGGCUCGGAGAGUGUGGGAUGGGCGGGUGAUAACCCUCCAAACCAAGACCCAGACAUGCUGUAACCUAUGGGUCACGGGGGGCCCGGAAACGGCCAGCGAUUGGCUGCGGGGCUUCUCUAACUUCCAUCGCGGAGGGCUCUUCCCGGCCUCGGGCCCGGCUUCCCACAUCCCCUAGCGGCCUUUCUCUGCCUCCGCCUGCCCGUCGGUAAAAUGGGGGCAGCGAGCGCGCCCGCCUGGGGGUGGGCGGGGCCGUCGCGGAGCGCGCGGCCCCGAGCUCUGCACGUGGGGCUGUGUCCUUUCCCGACCUUGGCGCGGGGCCGCAGCGCCGCCUGGCGCCGAGGAGGGGCGAGACAAGCUGGCGCCGGGAAACGGGGCCGCGGAUACAAGGCGCGCUGUGAGCGAGCGGCCGGAGGCUUCGGGGAACGGCCGCGGGGAGUGACCGGGCGCCGCCGGGGCUGCGCUUGCGCCCCAGGGUCGGAGGGAGGAAGUUCCCCCUCGCUCUGCGGGGCGCCGAGGGCCCUGUGGUGGGAACGGCCCUGGGAGGGCCCUGUGGUGGGAACGGCCCUGGGAGGGCCCUGUGGUGGGAAGGCGGCCGGCAGCCGGGCCAGGGCAGCAUCCGUGUUGGGGAGGGCGGCCUCUGCUCUUCAUCUUUUUCACUUUUUUUAAGUUAUAGCUUUUUUCUGGGAGAUGACCAAGAACCACUACAUUGAAUUCCCAAUCCCCAUAUUUAUGCCCACCUGCAUUUCUGAUUUCCUUCACAGGCUAAUUGUGCAAUAACUCAGAGUCUGAUUCUUUUUGUACAGCAAAAUCACGUUUUGUCAUGUAUACUUAUUGUGUAUCUGAUUUAUACUUUAAUAUAUUUAACAUCUACUGGUCAUCCUGCCAUCUGGGGGAGGGGAAAAAUUGGAACAAGAGGUUUGGCAAUUGUUAAUGCUGUAAAGUUACCCAUGCAUAUAACCUGUAAAUAAAAGGCUAUUAGAUAAAAAAAAAAAGAAAUGAGGCCUUGAUCAGAACCUUUGACUGCAAAAAUGUUUUCCCAGUUUGUGGCUUCCCUUUAAUCUUGUCUGUUAUGUUCUCUCUAAAAUGUCAUGUUCUCUGGGUGGGUUUUCUUGGGGUCUCUAGAUGCAGCCCUCCACCAGAAUCACCACCGGAACAGCCAGGGGUUAAAGUCCAAAUCCUUACUUGUCUCCUUCAAAGACUUGUCUCCUUCACUUGGGGCUCGGCUAGUUUUCUGGGUCCCUUCCAGAGUCUUGCUUUCAGUGGAGAAGCAAAGGAGGAGAGCCUGCCACCAAGGCGGUGGGAGAUGGGAUGAAUCUGUCUGAGUCCAAGGGCUUGGGCUCCAGGCUUCAGCCUUCAGCCUUCUCUGCUUGUCCUAAAUCUCUGAAUCUCCCUGACUGAGGCUUCUAGCUUACAUGCCCCACACUGAGUACAAACCAAUCAUUAUAUCACUAGGAGACCAUUAUUUGUUGUAGGAUUAAAUCAGUUUUAAACUAGAUUUAAACAGUGUCUCCUCGAUUCCACUUAGUGCCUUGUUUCAAGUUCUGGCCCACGACAUCUUGUAGGAUUUAAUCCAUCCUACUGAACCAGGCGAAAUUAGAUGAUUAUUGUCUCUAUCAAUUCCACUGACU
This is a long non-coding RNA of Sarcophilus harrisii (Tasmanian devil), 2645 nucleotides long. NCBI's taxonomy places the organism in Eukaryota, Metazoa, Chordata, Mammalia, Dasyuromorphia, Dasyuridae. The record is from Ensembl.